ACCCUUUAAUGUUUGAUGUUCUAACGUGGACCCGUGAUCCGGGUUGCGGACAGUGUCUGGUGGGUAGUUUGACUGGGGCGGUCUCCUCCUAAAGAGUAACGGAGGAGCACGAAGGUUGGCUAAUCCUGGUCGGACAUCAGGAGGUUAGUGCAAUGGCAUAAGCCAGCUUGACUGCGAGCGUGACGGCGCGAGCAGGUGCGAAAGCAGGUCAUAGUGAUCCGGUGGUUCUGAAUGGAAGGGCCAUCGCUCAACGGAUAAAAGGUACUCCGGGGAUAACAGGCUGAUACCGCCCAAGAGUUCAUAUCGACGGCGGUGUUUGGCACCUCGAUGUCGGCUCAUCACAUCCUGGGGCUGAAGUAGGUCCCAAGGGUAUGGCUGUUCGCCAUUUAAAGUGGUACGCGAGCUGGGUUUAGAACGUCGUGAGACAGUUCGGUCCCUAUCUGCCGUGGGCGCUGGAGAACUGAGGGGGGCUGCUCCUAGUACGAGAGGACCGGAGUGGACGCAUCACUGGUGUUCGGGUUGUCAUGCCAAUGGCACUGCCCGGUAGCUAAAUGCGGAAGAGAUAAGUGCUGAAAGCAUCUAAGCACGAAACUUGCCCCGAGAUGAGUUCUCCCUGACUCCUUGAGAGUCCUGAAGGAACGUUGAAGACGACGACGUUGAUAGGCCGGGUGUGUAAGCGCAGCGAUGCGUUGAGCUAACCGGUACUAAUGAACCGUGAGGCUUAACCUUACAACGCCGAAG
Molecule: ribosomal RNA, 741 nt
Filed under: Escherichia coli
Lineage: Bacteria; Pseudomonadati; Pseudomonadota; Gammaproteobacteria; Enterobacterales; Enterobacteriaceae
Description: partial 23S ribosomal RNA
Rfam family: Bacterial large subunit ribosomal RNA
Source: RNAcentral